AACGAACGCUGGCGGCAGGCCUAACACAUGCAAGUCGAACGAACCUUUCGGGGUUAGUGGCGGACGGGUGCGUAACGCGUGGGAACGUGCCUUUAGGUUCGGAAUAACUCAGGGAAACUUGUGCUAAUACCGAAUGUGCCCUUCGGGGGAAAGAUUUAUCGCCUUUAGAGCGGCCCGCGUCUGAUUAGCUAGUUGGUUGAGGUAAUGGCUCACCAAGGCGACGAUCAGUAGCUGGUCUGAGAGGAUGAUCAGCAACAUUGGGACUGAGACACGGCCCAGACUCCUACGGGAGGCAGCAGUGGGGAAUCUUGCGCAAUGGGCGAAAGCCUGACGCAGCCAUGCCGCGUGAAUGAUGAAGGUCUUAGGAUUGUAAAAUUCUUUUACCGGGGAAGAUAAUGACGGUACCCGGAGAAGAAGCCCCGGCUAACUUCGUG
RNAcentral lists this ribosomal RNA (434 nucleotides) under uncultured bacterium. RNAcentral describes it as "partial 16S ribosomal RNA". It matches the Rfam family "Bacterial small subunit ribosomal RNA", at positions 29 to 507 of the family's 1533-position model. The record is from RNAcentral.